UACGGGGGGUGCGAGUGUUAUUCGGAAUCACUGGGCGUAAAGAGCACGUAGGCGGAUAGGUAAGUCAGAUGUGAAAUCCCGGAGCUCAACUCCGGAACUGCAUUUGAUACUGCCUGUCUUGAGUGAGGUAGAGGGGGGUGGAAUUCCCGGUGUAGAGGUGAAAUUCGUAGAUAUCGGGAGGAACACCAGAGGCGAAGGCGACCCCCUGGGCCUCUACUGACGCUGAGGUGCGAAAGCGUGGGGAGCAAACAGG
RNAcentral lists this ribosomal RNA (253 nucleotides) under uncultured prokaryote. Its description in RNAcentral is "partial 16S ribosomal RNA". It matches the Rfam family "Bacterial small subunit ribosomal RNA", at positions 524 to 776 of the family's 1533-position model. The record is from RNAcentral.